GGUCAGGACGAACGCUGGCGGCGUGCCUAACACAUGCAAGUCGAGCGAGGAGAUCCUUCGGGAUGAUCCUAGCGGCGGACGGGUGAGUAACACGUGGGCAACCUGCCUCAUAGAGAGGAAUAGCCUUCCGAAAGGGAGAUUAAUACCUCAUAACAUUGCAGUUUCGCAUGGAACAGCAAUUAAAGGAGUAAUCCGCUAUGAGAUGGGCCCGCGGCGCAUUAGCUAGUUGGUGAGGUAACGGCUCACCAAGGCGACGAUGCGUAGCCGACCUGAGAGGGUGAUCGGCCACAUUGGGACUGAGACACGGCCCAGACUCCUACGGGAGGCAGCAGUGGGGAAUAUUGCACAAUGGGGGAAACCCUGAUGCAAGCAACGCCGCGUGAGUGAUGACGGCCUUCGGGUUGUAAAGCUCUGUCUUCAGGGACGAUAAUGACGGUACCUGAGGAGGAAGCCACGGCUAACUACGUGCCAGCAGCGGC
Molecule: ribosomal RNA, 479 nt
Filed under: uncultured bacterium
Lineage: Bacteria
Description: bacterial SSU rRNA
Rfam family: Bacterial small subunit ribosomal RNA
Source: RNAcentral